RNAcentral lists this ribosomal RNA (253 nucleotides) under uncultured bacterium. RNAcentral describes it as "partial 16S ribosomal RNA". It matches the Rfam family "Bacterial small subunit ribosomal RNA", at positions 524 to 776 of the family's 1533-position model. The record is from RNAcentral.
UACGGGGGGAGCAAGCGUUGUUCGGAUUUACUGGGCGUAAAGGGCGCGUAGGUGGCCCGGUCAGUCCGUGGUGAAAGCGCGGGGCUCAACCCCGCGUCGGCCAUGGAUACUGCUGGGCUGGAGCACUGUAGAGGCAGGCGGAAUUCCGGGUGUAGCGGUGGAAUGCGUAGAGAUCCGGAAGAACACCGGUGGCGAAGGCGGCCUGCUGGGCAGUUGCUGACACUGAGGCGCGACAGCGUGGGGAGCAAACGGG